This 253-nucleotide ribosomal RNA is filed under the name uncultured bacterium. RNAcentral describes it as "partial 16S ribosomal RNA". It matches the Rfam family "Bacterial small subunit ribosomal RNA", at positions 524 to 776 of the family's 1533-position model. The record is from RNAcentral.
UACGAGGGGUGCAAACGUUAUUCGGAUUUAUUGGGUGUAAAGGGUGUGUAGACGGUUUAUUAAGUUCGUUGUUAAAUCUUUCGGCUCAACCGGAAGCUUGCGGUGAAAACUGAUAGACUAGAGGAUGAAAGAGAGGAGUGGAAUUCUCGGAGUAGCGGUAAAAUGCGUAGAUCUCGAGAGGAACACCGAUGGCGAAAGCAGCUCCUUGGUUCAUUCCUGACGUUGAAACACGAAAGCGUGGGGAGCAAACAGG